GUGCAGCCGCCGCGGUAAUACGGAGGGUGCAAGCGUUAUCCGGAUUCAUUGGGUUUAAAGGGUGCGCAGGCGGAUACUUAAGUCAGUGGUGAAAUCCCGGGGCUCAACCCCGGAACUGCCAUUGAUACUGAAUAUCUGGAAUACGGUUGAAGUGGGCGGAAUGUAGCAUGUAGCGGUGAAAUGCAUAGAGAUGCUACAGAACACCGAUCGCGAAGGCAGCUCACUAAGCCGAUAUUGACGCUCAGGCACGAAAGCGUGGGGAGCGAGCAGGAUUAGAUACCCUGGUAGUCCACGCCGUAAACGAUGAUAACUCGUUGUUGGCGACACACAGUCAGCGACUAAGCGAAAGCGAUAAGUUAUCCACCUGGGGAGUACGAUCGCAAGGUUGAAACUCAAAGGAAUUGACGG
This 408-nucleotide ribosomal RNA is filed under the name uncultured bacterium. RNAcentral describes it as "bacterial SSU rRNA". It matches the Rfam family "Bacterial small subunit ribosomal RNA", at positions 505 to 916 of the family's 1533-position model. The record is from RNAcentral.